This 20-nucleotide non-coding RNA is filed under the name Rattus norvegicus (Norway rat). The record is from RNAcentral. Lineage: Eukaryota; Metazoa; Chordata; Mammalia; Rodentia; Muridae.
UUUAGUGCCAUCUCUUGAGU